Molecule: ribosomal RNA, 497 nt
Filed under: uncultured bacterium
Lineage: Bacteria
Description: partial 16S ribosomal RNA
Rfam family: Bacterial small subunit ribosomal RNA
Source: RNAcentral
GAUGAACGCUGGCGGCGUGCCUAAUACAUGCAAGUCGAGCGAACAGACGAGGAGCUUGCUCCUCUGACGUUAGCGGCGGACGGGUGAGUAACACGUGGAUAACCUACCUAUAAGACUGGGAUAACUUCGGGAAACCGGAGCUAAUACCGGAUAAUAUAUUGAACCGCAUGGUUCAAUAGUGAAAGACGGUUUUGCUGUCACUUAUAGAUGGAUCCGCGCCGCAUUAGCUAGUUGGUAAGGUAACGGCUUACCAAGGCAACGAUGCGUAGCCGACCUGAGAGGGUGAUCGGCCUCACUGGAACUGAGACACGGUCCCGACUCCUACGGGAGGCAGCAGUAGGGAAUCUUGCGCAAUGGGCGAAAGCUUGACGGAGCAACGCCGCGUGAGUGAUGAAGGUCUUCGGAUCUUAAAACUCUGUUAUUAGGGAAGAACAAAUGUGUAAGUAACUAUGCACGUCUUGACGGUACCUAAUCAGAAAGCCACGGCUAACUACGUG